UACGAAGGUGGCAAGCGUUGUUCGGAUUUACUGGGCGUACAGGGAGCGUAGGCGGUUGGGUAAGCCCUCCGUGAAAUCUCCGGGCCUAACCCGGAAAGUGCGGAGGGGACUGCUCGGCUAGAGGAUGGGAGAGGAGCGCGGAAUUCCUGGUGUAGCGGUGAAAUGCGCAGAUAUCAGGAAGAACACCUGUGGCGAAGGCGGCUCUCUGGGACGGUACUGACGCUGAGACGCGAAAGCGUGGGGAGCGAACAGG
This 253-nucleotide ribosomal RNA is filed under the name uncultured bacterium. RNAcentral describes it as "partial 16S ribosomal RNA". It matches the Rfam family "Bacterial small subunit ribosomal RNA", at positions 524 to 776 of the family's 1533-position model. The record is from RNAcentral.